Molecule: non-coding RNA, 161 nt
Filed under: bovine gut metagenome
Description: Lysine riboswitch
Rfam family: Lysine riboswitch aptamer
About the family: Riboswitches are metabolite binding domains within certain messenger RNAs that serve as precision sensors for their corresponding targets. Allosteric rearrangement of mRNA structure is mediated by ligand binding, and this results in modulation of gene expression.
Source: RNAcentral
CGGAUAGAGGUGCGGAUUAAAAAAGUAUUCCGAUUUACGUUCGGGUCGGACGCGGAAAAAAGGUUAAUCUGCCGAAGCGAUAGACUUUGACCUACGGUUUAUACGCUGGGACGCAGCGAAAUACGUUGCGGACUGUCACAAGAAAUUGUGGAGCGCUAUCA